RNAcentral lists this ribosomal RNA (627 nucleotides) under uncultured Verrucomicrobiaceae bacterium. Its description in RNAcentral is "bacterial SSU rRNA". It matches the Rfam family "Bacterial small subunit ribosomal RNA", at positions 9 to 609 of the family's 1533-position model. Lineage: Bacteria; Pseudomonadati; Verrucomicrobiota; Verrucomicrobiia; Verrucomicrobiales; Verrucomicrobiaceae. The record is from RNAcentral.
GAGUUUGAUUCUGGCUCAGAACGAACGCUGGCGGCGUGGAUAAGACAUGCAAGUCGAGCGAGAAAUCUUUGGUAGCAAUAUUGGAGGUUUCUAGCGGCGAACGGGUGCGUAACACGUGGGCAACAUGCCGGAAAGCGGGGGAUAGCCCGCCGAAAGGCGGAUUAAUACCGCAUAGGGCCACUUCGCGAUUGCGAAACGGUCAAAGCUGGGGAUCUUCGGACCUGGCGCUUUCCGAUUGGCCCGCGGCCUAUCAGCUUGUUGGUGAGGUAACGGCUCACCAAGGCGACGACGGGUAGCUGGUCUGAGAGGAUGAUCAGUCACACUGGAACUGAGACACGGUCCAGACACCUACGGGUGGCAGCAGUCGAGAAUCAUUCACAAUGGGCGAAAGCCUGAUGGCGCGACGCCGCGUGGAGGAUGACGGCCCUCGGGUUGUAAACUCCUGUCAUCAGGGAGCAAUGCGCCCCCGGUUAACAGCCGGGUGCGUUGAUAGUACCUGAAGAGGAAGAGACGGCUAACUCUGUGCCAGCAGCCGCGGUAAUACAGAGGUCUCAAGCGUUGUUCGGAAUUACUGGGCGUAAAGAGUGCGUAUGCGGCGCGGUAAGUCAGAUGUGAAAUCCCGGAGCU